UCCCUGGUGGUCUAGUGGUUAGGAUGCGGUGCUUUCACCGCUGCGGCCCGGGUUCGAUCCCCAGUCAGGGAA
This is a non-coding RNA of Silurus meridionalis, 72 nucleotides long. The record is from the annotation of a RefSeq genome assembly. Lineage: Eukaryota; Metazoa; Chordata; Actinopteri; Siluriformes; Siluridae.